This 495-nucleotide ribosomal RNA is filed under the name uncultured bacterium. RNAcentral describes it as "partial 16S ribosomal RNA". It matches the Rfam family "Bacterial small subunit ribosomal RNA", at positions 28 to 507 of the family's 1533-position model. The record is from RNAcentral.
GACGAACGCUGGCGGCGUGCCUAAUACAUGCAAGUCGAACGCUGAAGGAGGAGCUUGCUUCUCCGGAUGAGUUGCGAACGGGUGAGUAACGCGUAGGUAACCUGCCUGGUAGCGGGGGAUAACUAUUGGAAACGAUAGCUAAUACCGCAUAACAGUAGAUGUUGCAUGACAUUUGCUUAAAAGGUGCAAUUGCAUCACUACCAGAUGGACCUGCGUUGUAUUAGCUAGUUGGUGAGGUAACGGCUCACCAAGGCGACGAUACAUAGCCGACCUGAGAGGGGGAUCGGCGACACUGGGACUGGGACACGGCCCAGACGCCUACGGGAGGCAGCAGUAGGGAAUCUUCGGCAAUGGACGGAAGUCUGACCGAGCAACGCCGCGUGAGUGAAGAAGGUUUUCGGGUCGUAAAGCUCUGUUGUAAGGGAAGAACGAGUGUGAGAGUGGAAAGUUCACACUGUGACGGUAUCUGACCAGAAAGGGACGGCUAACUACGUG